AUGUUUAGGGCUGUGCACGACUGCUUAGUGCUGUGGAACAGUACUGUUAAGCUAGUCUUUUUGUUGGUAAAUUAAUAUCUUCUUGAGCUUCAGCCCAGCUUGGAGCUGUAAAAAUCCUCAGAAGAAUUCCUAAUGAAAACAGCGUUGUACUAUUGUGUGGGCUGGCUAUUUCCAGCUAGGCUGGGCUCAUGUCAUGUCUGCUUAGCAGAAGAUUGAACUACCCUUGAAUGUAAAACACUGUGGCCUAUAAACCUCUGAAAUAGCUGAACAGAUGAAGAAUCCUUAGGCUGUGAUCUUUGUGAACUUCAGGACAUCCUAUGCCUGCUACUUCCUCAAGGAGCAAGAAGAGCAGAGAAAUCUGAUUGCUGGGAAGAGUCCAACCUGCAGAAAGAAGGACCUUGCAUCGUGCAGAGGACGCACUUGUUGCCAAGAGAACUGAGCCUAAUUUUUGUUGAGGCAUAUAGACCUGUCUGCAAAUACUGCUGCCUGACAGUGGAAGACAGAGGCUAUCUACUGAGAUCUUCAUGAAACUAACUCCAUCUCUACGCAAAGCCCACCAUUUAAAGAAGCCCAUCUCUCUCUCCCAACAAGACUGAGAUGAACUGUAUGAAACUGUAAGUGGAGAAAAGUGUCUUCCAAGACAUAGCGUGCUGGAAGCCCAAGUCAGCUACCUU
This is a long non-coding RNA of Nothoprocta perdicaria, 674 nucleotides long. RefSeq lists it as uncharacterized. The record is from RefSeq and is a predicted model, not a curated record. The transcript has 6 exons. NCBI's taxonomy places the organism in Eukaryota, Metazoa, Chordata, Aves, Tinamiformes, Tinamidae.